GAUUGGGCAGAUGAUGAGCGUGACACAGGGCUUGGUUUGACAGACCGGGGCAGAGAGCAUAGAUUUUCCAAGAGUGAAGUCUACUGGGAUGUGGAUUUUGAUUUCCCAAGGCCUAGUAUUUUGCCACAGAAAAUAGGACAUAAUCUCUUUGACAGGAGGGGAGAACGGGACAAUGCAACUGGAAAGAUUUCUUCCAGUGAAGUCA
RNAcentral lists this unclassified non-coding RNA (205 nucleotides) under Hevea brasiliensis (rubber tree). Lineage: Eukaryota; Viridiplantae; Streptophyta; Magnoliopsida; Malpighiales; Euphorbiaceae. The record is from RNAcentral.